This 1027-nucleotide long non-coding RNA is filed under the name Felis catus (domestic cat). RNAcentral's name for it is "lncRNA (ENSFCAG00000048169.1)". The record is from RNAcentral. Lineage: Eukaryota; Metazoa; Chordata; Mammalia; Carnivora; Felidae.
UUCCCCUCAGUGCUGACCAGAUCUGUGGUCACUGCCUGGGAUACAGGAAGGCUUCCAUAGGCCUGGAUCGGAUGUCUGCUCUCUCUUGAGUUCAUCUGACUGCAGAGUUACAUACCCACCGACGGCAUUCGCAGCUCCCUUUGUGGCGAUAAGAUGACAGGGUCUAGAACUUGCUAGUGGGGGGCUCCUGUGGGCCAGCCCACAGGGGUGGGUCCGUUCCUUCCUGGCAGUCUGAAUCUGGAACAAACCGUGUCAAUAAAAGUUCAUCGGAUAAAGGAGAGAGAUAGUCACAAGUACAAAGAACAGACGAUGGAUGAAAAGAGAGGAAGCAGUGAGGACGGAGGCAGGAGAAGAGGAAUGAAACCCAGACUCAUCUCAGAGCACGCUCCCCAGGCACCCACUGUGGUACCCAUUUUAUAGCUGUGGACACUGAGGCCAGAGGAGUCCAAGGCAAUUACCCCAAAACCACACGCAUGUGAGACCCUGUGACAUGUGCCUUAGUCUUUGAACGACUUGUGGGCAUUUUCAUGCAACUAGCUAUCUCUUCCCCCAUCCCUGUGCCUCUGAGUUUUCCAACACUUCCAAUUCACAAAUACAGGUAAUGUUUUCUCUUUAUGAAAGCAGUGUGUGCUUGUUUUAAAGAACUAGGAAACUGAAGAAAAACAUUUAAAGCAGCAGAUAUAAUUUCCAUGAAUCCCAUCACCCCAGGACAACCCCUGUUAAAACUGUUACAUUUUCUAGCCUUUUCUCUGUGUUUGCAUUUAUUGCCUAAGUGGUUAGCAGUAGAUUGUUGAUGCCGUUUUAAAUCCUGCUUUUUUUUUUUAAAGAAGAAGCUUUUAUUUUAUUUUUUAAAGUUUAUCUUGAGAGAGAGAGAGACAGAGAGAGAGAGACAGAGAGAGAGAGAGAGAGAGAGAGAGAGGGAGAGAGAGAGAGACAGAGAGAGAGAGAAUCCCAAGCAGGCUCUCAACUGUCCGUGGAGAGUCUGAUGCGGGGCUCGAACCCACGAACCAUGAGAUCAUGUUCUGAG